Molecule: long non-coding RNA, 4022 nt
Organism: Cyprinus carpio carpio
Lineage: Eukaryota; Metazoa; Chordata; Actinopteri; Cypriniformes; Cyprinidae
Source: Ensembl
AUGGGAGAUGAAGGGGCUGGAGAUCCUAGACUUUUUGGGGGUUUUACCCAUUACCUGUGCCAUCGUGCUCAAUGGGAUACUUCGACCACACCUGUGUCUCCAGAGAAGAGGGCCGCCAGCCCAGCGCCACAGCACAAGAUGGCCACCAACCCAGCGCCACAGCACAAGAUGGCCGCCAGCCCAGCGCCACAGCACAAGAUGGCCGCCAGCCCAGCGCCACAGCACAAGAUGGCCGCCAGCCCAGCACCACAGCACGAGAUGACCACCAGCCCAGCACCACUGCACAGGAGGGUCGAAUCUACACCUGUGUUGGCAGACAAGAUGGUUGACUCAACGCCUGAGUCUUCCGUCAAGGAGCCACCGGCACGUCAUCAUAGAGGCCGCAGGAGGAGGAGACAGGCGUCAGCCGUUCCUCAAAGCCCGGAGGGACGUUCCCGAGCAGGCCGCUGCCGUCCAGGAGGACGUUCCCGAGCAGGCCGCUGCCGUCCAGGAGGACGUUCCCGAGCAGGCCGCGGUCGUCCAGAUGGAGGUGUCCAAGGUUCCCGAGGCGGUGCCCGAUGCCGAGGCCGUUCCCGAGGCGGUGCCCGAUGCCGAGCCCGAGGCGGUUCCCGAUGCAAUGCCCGAGGCCGAGAAGGUGGCCGAGACAGAAGCGGUUCCCGAUGCUAUGCCCGAUGCCGAGGCGGUCCCCGAUGCCAGGGCGGUGCCCGAGGCGGUGCCCGAUGCCGAGGCGGUGCCCGAUGCCGAGGCGGUGCCCGAUGUAAUGCCCGAGACCGAGGCUGUUCCGGAGGUGCCCGAGGCGGUUCCCGAUGCAAUGUCCGAUGCCGAGGCGGUCCCCGAUGCCGAGGCGGUGCCCGAGGCGGUCCCCGAUGCCGAGGCGGUGCCCGAUGCGGUGCCCGAGGCCGAGGCGGUCCCCGAUGCCGAGGCGGUUCCCGAUGCAAUGUCCACUGCCGAGGCGGUGCCCGAUGCCGAGGCGGUGCCCGUUGCGGUUGCCGAUGCGGUUCCCGAUGCAAUGUCCGAUGCCGAGGCGGUGCCCGAGGCGGUGCCCGAUGCCGAGGCGGUGCCCGAUGCGGUGCCAGAGACGGUGCCAGAGACGGUUCCCGAUGUAAUGCCCGAGACCGAGGCGGAGGUCGAGGCGGUGCCCGACGUUGUUCCCGAUGCCGAGGCGGUGCCCGAUGUGUUUCCGAUACCGAGGCUGUGCCCGAUGCCGAGGCUGUGCCCGAUGCCGAGGCGGUGACCGAUGCUGUUCCGCAGGUCGAGGCGGUGCCCGAGGCUGUGCCCGAUGCCGAAGCGGUGCCCGAUGCUGUUCCGGAGGCCGAGGCGGUGCCCGAUGCGCAGGCCGAGGUCGUUCCCGAGGCGGUGUCCUUGUCCGAUGUCGAGCCCGAGGCGGAGCCCGAGGUCGUGCCCGAGGCCGUGCCCGAGGCCGUUCCCGAGGCGGUGUCCUUGUCCGAUGCCGUUCCUGAGGCCAUUCCCAGGCGGUGCCCGAUGCUGUUCCGGGAGGCCGAUGCGGGGCCCGAGAUGGUUCCGGAGGCGAUACCCGUGUCCAAGGCCGUUCCCGAGGCGGUGCCCUUGUCUGAGGCCGUUCCCGAUGCCGUUCCCAAUGCCGUGACCUGGCCAUCGCCACAGCCUGCUCCUUACUGGCUCCCCGAUUGGCAGGUUCCGUUCGGGCCACUCAAAUGGCGAAUUCCUCCCUGGCCGUCUGCACAACGAGAAUGGACUGAUCCACCGUGGCCACCUGAACUGCCUGGCCCCUCGUGGUCCCCUGAACUUUCGGGUCCACCGCGGCCUUGGACACGGGUAUCGCCUCCGGAACCAUCUCGGGCCCCGCAUCGGCCUCCGGAACAGCAUCGGGCACCGCCUCGGGAACGGUCUCAGGAACGGCCUCGGGCUCGGCAUCGGGCACCGCCUCGGGAACGACCUCGGCCUGCGCAUCGGGCACCGCCUCGGUCUCUGGAACCAACUCGGGCACCGCCUCGGCCUCCGGAACCGCAUCGGGCACCGCCUCGGCCUCCGGAACAGCAUCGGGCACCGCCUCGGCCUCCGGAACAGCAUCGGGCACCGCCGGCAUCGGGCACAGCCUCGGCAUCGGGCACAGCCUCGGCAUCGGGCACAGCCUCGGCAUCGGGCACAACAUCGGGCACCGCCUCGGCAUCGGGAACAACAUCGGGCACCGCCUCGACCUCCGGAACAGCCUCGGUCUCGGGCAUUACAUCGGGAACCGUCUCUGGCACCGUCUCUGGCACCGCAUCGGGCACCGCCUCGGCAUCGGGCACCGCCUCGGCAUCGGGCACCGCCUCGGCAUCGGGCACUGCCUCGGCAUCGGACAUUGCAUCGGGCACCGCCUCGGCCACCUCCGGCACCGCCUCAGGCACCGCCUCGGCAUCGGGCACCGCCUCGGCAUCGGGCAUUGCAUCGGGAACUGCCUCGGCAUCGGGAACCUUGGACACGUCCUCCUGGACGGCAGCGGCCUGCUCGGGAACGUCCUCCUGGACGGCAGCGGCCUGCUCGGGAACGUCCUCCGGGCUUUGAGGAACGGCUGACGCCUGUCUCCUCCUCCUGCGGCCUCUAUGAUGACGUGCCGGUGGCUCCUUGACGGAAGACUCAGGCGUUGAGUCAACCAUCCUGUGCUGUGGCGCUGGGCUGGUGGCCAUCUUGUGCUGUGGCGCAGGGCUGGCGGCCAUCUUGUGCUGUGGCGCCGGGCUGGCGGCCAUCUUGUGCUGUGGCGCUGGCUCAGCAGCCGUGACGUGAACACUCCUGGGAACCUCUAGGAUCUUGUUCAACCUGGAGAAGUAAUUCAAAAAUGUCUCAGUGGCCAUCUUGGACAGUGGCGCUGGGCUGGCGGCCGUCUGGCCUCGUGGCGUGGGGCUGGUGACCACCUUGUGCUGUGGCGCUGAGCUGGCGUCCAUCUUGCCUCGUGGCGCUGGCCCUGGCAGUGGCAUCAUGGGCAGUGGCGCCACCAUGGCGGACGUGCGCUUCUUCUCCCCUCUCCGUCUGCCAUGGUGAGACAGUGGCUCUGAUCCAUCCCACACGAGCCCCGGAUCGAAGGGGGGCCAUGGUUGAGAGCGAUUCUGAGCCUCCUCUCGACCACUCACUCCUCUGCGACCUCCCCGGGUCCCACGAAAAAUGACCAGGCGGGUUCCCUCAAACUCUAUCCUUCUCUCCCGCUCGAUGGCUGGGGGAGAAACCUCAAAAAACAUACCGCUGGAUCUAGGCAUGACGGAGUCCUUCUGUCACGACACGCACACAGACAGGUAGAUCCAAAAGCAGUAUGUUUAUUGGGGUGAUCCAAAAUCAGAAAACAUCCAGGCAAAGGUCAAAAUCCAGGUAAUCCGUCCAAAACAAGAAACAUAGACAACAUCCAGAAACACGAAAAACCAGGGAACCAGGAAAACGCAGGGUGACAUUCAACAAGGACUCCGUAACAAUGACAGAAACAACCAGGGUAUUUAAAGACAGGUGCAAACAAGGUAAGUGGUGACAGCUGAACACAAUGAACAGUGAUGAACAGAUAAGGCUAGUGGGAAAUGUAGUUCAGAAGGGGGUGACAAUCAGGGGAAGUGAGACCUCUAGUGGCCACCCAGGGAGACACAGAACAGACACCGUGACAGUGUGUUACUGUUUUGAAUGAACACUGAACUGACUUGAGCUGAAUAAUUGAACAUUUCAUAAUUGAUUAAAUUUGAACUGAACUGAAUAAACAUUGAACUGAGCUGAAUAAAGACACUGCUGUCUUCUGUAGAGCUGCUUUAUAGCUAAAUUCAAUUCUUUGCGUAAUUGAUAUCUAUUUCAACAUUGAUAGUUAGGCUAUCGAAAUAAAUUAAAUCAACACUUAACUGAACUGAAUCAACAAUGAACUGAAUUAAGCUGAAUAAUAACACUGGUCACUGAAUCGUUUAAUAAUUAAUUAUCUUUGCAACUUUCACAGUUACUGAACUGAAUUGAAUCAAUGAUGAACUGAAUUGAAUUACUGAUUAACUGUAUUGAACUGAAUAAUGACAACACUGUCUAUGUAAAGCUACUUUAAG